GAUGAACGCUGGCGGCGUGCCUAAUACAUGCAAGUCGAGCGAACAGACGAGGAGCUUGCUCCUCUGACGUUAGCGGCGGACGGGUGAGUAACACGUGGAUAACCUACCUAUAAGACUGGGAUAACUUCGGGAAACCGGAGCUAAUACCGGAUAACAUGUUGAACCGCAUGGUUCAACAGUGAAAGACGGUCUUGCUGUCACUUAUAGAUGGAUCCGCGCCGCAUUAGCUAGUUGGUAAGGUAACGGCUUACCAAGGCAACGAUGCGUAGCCGACCUGAGAGGGUGAUCGGCCACACUGGAACUGAGACACGGUCCAGACUCCUACGGGAGGCAGCAGUAGGGAAUCUUCCGCAAUGGGCGAAAGCCUGACGAAGCAACGCCGCGUGAGUGAAGAAGGUCUUCGGAUCGUAAAACUCUGUUAUUAGGGAAGAACAAAUGUGUAAGUAACUAUGCACGUCUUGACGGUACCUAAUCAGAAAGCCACGGCUAACUACGUG
RNAcentral lists this ribosomal RNA (497 nucleotides) under uncultured bacterium. RNAcentral's name for it is "partial 16S ribosomal RNA". It matches the Rfam family "Bacterial small subunit ribosomal RNA", at positions 28 to 507 of the family's 1533-position model. The record is from RNAcentral.